UACAGAGGGUGCGAGCGUUAAUCGGAAUUACUGGGCGUAAAGCGUGCGUAGACGGCUAUCUAAGUCGGGUGUGAAAGCCCCGGGCUCAACCUGUGAAUUGCAUUCGAGACUGAAUAGCUAGGGUACGGUAGAGGGAAGCGGAAUUUCCGGUGUAGCGGUGAAAUGCGUAGAUAUCGGAAGGAACAUCAGUGGCGAAAGCGGCUUCCUGGACCAGUACCGACGUUCAGGCACGAAAGCGUGGGGAGCAAACAGG
RNAcentral lists this ribosomal RNA (253 nucleotides) under uncultured bacterium. RNAcentral describes it as "partial 16S ribosomal RNA". It matches the Rfam family "Bacterial small subunit ribosomal RNA", at positions 524 to 776 of the family's 1533-position model. The record is from RNAcentral.